Oncorhynchus keta (chum salmon) is the source of this 316-nucleotide long non-coding RNA. RefSeq lists it as uncharacterized. Lineage: Eukaryota; Metazoa; Chordata; Actinopteri; Salmoniformes; Salmonidae. The transcript has 3 exons. The record is from RefSeq and is a predicted model, not a curated record.
GCUAGAUGAGGUAUAGACCCUCUCUGUCUCUCUGUAGAUAGCCCAGCUAGAUGAGGUAUUGACCCUCUCUGUCUCUCUGUAGAUCGCCCAGCUAGAUGAGGUAUUGACCCUCUCUGUCUCUCUGUAGAUAGCCCAGCUAGAUGAGGUAUUGACCCUCUCUGUCUCUCUGUAGAUCGCCCAGCUAGAUGAGGUAUAGACCCUCUCUGUCUCUCUGUAGAUCGCCCAGCUAGAUGAGGUAUAGACCCUCUCUGUCUCUCUGUAGAUAGCCCAGCUAGAUGAGGUAUAGACCCUCUCUGUCUCUCUGUAGAUAGCCCAG